GCUUGUUAAAGUUUCGAUCACUCCCAGACGCGACGCCCUCUGUUGAACGAGUGUCUUGCUGUCAAGCUAGCUGUUGCAUUCCUUCACGAAGCUCAUCGUUCAAAUUCUGUGUAUGUUUGGGGGUGUGGCGAUUGGAGAAUAGUGUUGUGGUGAAAAACCUUGUAGGCGAUUCCAUAGGAAAAAAAAAUGUUGGAGUUUCGUUCA
RNAcentral lists this unclassified non-coding RNA (204 nucleotides) under Hevea brasiliensis (rubber tree). The record is from RNAcentral. Lineage: Eukaryota; Viridiplantae; Streptophyta; Magnoliopsida; Malpighiales; Euphorbiaceae.